This 497-nucleotide ribosomal RNA is filed under the name uncultured bacterium. RNAcentral describes it as "partial 16S ribosomal RNA". It matches the Rfam family "Bacterial small subunit ribosomal RNA", at positions 28 to 507 of the family's 1533-position model. The record is from RNAcentral.
GAUGAACGCUGGCGGCGUGCCUAAUACAUGCAAGUCGAGCGAACGGACGAGAAGCUUGCUUCUCUGAUGUUAGCGGCGGACGGGUGAGUAACACGUGGAUAACCUACCUAUAAGACUGGGAUAACUUCGGGAAACCGGAGCUAAUACCGGAUAAUAUUUUGACCCGCAUGGUUCAAAAGUAAAAGACGGCCUUGCUGUCACUAAUAGAUGGUUCCGCGCUGCAUUAGCUAGUUGGUAAGGUAACGGCUUACCAAGGCAACGAUGCAUAGCCGACCUGAGAGGGGGAUCGGCCGCACUGGAACUGAGACACGGUCCAGACUCCUACGGGAGGCAGCAGUAGGGAAUCUUCCGCAAUGGGCGAAAGCCUGACGGAGCAACGCCGCGUGAGUGAUGAAGGUCUUCGGAUCGUAAAACUCUGUUAUUAGGGAAGAACAUAUGUGUAAGUAACUGUGCACAUCUUGACGGUACCUAAUCAGAAAGCCACGGCUAACUACGUG